CUCGUAGGCGGGGGCGUGCGUCCGAAAGGAAAUCUCAAGGCUCAACCUUGGGGGCUUUUUUCGGAUACGGCGCUUCUUGAGGGUGAGAGAGGAAAGCGGAAUUCCAGGUGUAGCGGUGAAAUGCGUAGAUAUCUGGAGGAACACCAGCGGCGAAGGCGGCUUUCUGGCUCAUUCCUGACGCUGAGGAGCGAAAGCGUGGGUAGCGAACG
RNAcentral lists this ribosomal RNA (209 nucleotides) under uncultured bacterium. RNAcentral's name for it is "partial 16S ribosomal RNA". It matches the Rfam family "Bacterial small subunit ribosomal RNA", at positions 568 to 774 of the family's 1533-position model. The record is from RNAcentral.